UACGGGGGGGCAAGCGUUGUUCGGAAUUACUGGGCGUAAAGGGCUCGUAGGCGGCCAACUAAGUCAGACGUGAAAUCCCUCGGCUUAACCGGGGAACUGCGUCUGAUACUGGAUGGCUUGAGUUUGGGAGAGGGAUGCGGAAUUCCAGGUGUAGCGGUGAAAUGCGUAGAUAUCUGGAGGAACACCGGUGGCGAAGGCGGCAUCCUGGACCAACACUGACGCUGAGUGAGCGAAAGCCAGGGGAGCAAACAGG
RNAcentral lists this ribosomal RNA (253 nucleotides) under uncultured bacterium. RNAcentral describes it as "partial 16S ribosomal RNA". It matches the Rfam family "Bacterial small subunit ribosomal RNA", at positions 524 to 776 of the family's 1533-position model. The record is from RNAcentral.